GAUGAACGCUGGCGGCGUGCCUAACACAUGCAAGUCGAACGGAGUUCUUAAGGAAUGCGACUUCGGUCAAAUGACUUUUGAACUUAGUGGCGGACGGGUGAGUAACGCGUGAGCAACCUGCCUUUCAGAGGGGGAUAACAUUUGGAAACAGAUGCUAAUACCGCAUAAGAUUACAGUACCGCAUGAUACAGUGAUCAAAGGAGCAAUCCGCUGAAAGAUGGGCUCGCGUCCGAUUAGAUAGUUGGUGAGGUAACGGCUCACCAAGUCGACGAUCGGUAGCCGGACUGAGAGGUUGAACGGCCACAUUGGGACUGAGACACGGCCCAGACUCCUACGGGAGGCAGCAGUGGGGAAUAUUGCACAAUGGGCGAAAGCCUGAUGCAGCAACGCCGCGUGAGGGAAGACGGUUUUCGGAUUGUAAACCUCUGUUUUCGGUGA
RNAcentral lists this ribosomal RNA (438 nucleotides) under uncultured bacterium. RNAcentral describes it as "bacterial SSU rRNA". It matches the Rfam family "Bacterial small subunit ribosomal RNA", at positions 28 to 445 of the family's 1533-position model. The record is from RNAcentral.